Molecule: ribosomal RNA, 254 nt
Filed under: uncultured bacterium
Lineage: Bacteria
Description: partial 16S ribosomal RNA
Rfam family: Bacterial small subunit ribosomal RNA
Source: RNAcentral
CACGUAGGCACCAAGCGUUGUCCGGAUUUAUUGGGCGUAAAGAGCUCGUAGGCGGUUCAGUAAGUCGGGUGUGAAAACUCUGGGCUUAACCCAGAGCCGCCACCCGAUACUGCUGUGACUAGAGUCCGGUAGGGGAGUGGGGAAUUCCUAGUGUAGCGGUGAAAUGCGCAGAUAUCAGGAGGAACACCGGUGGCGAAGGCGGAUCUCUGGGCCUUACCUGACGCUCAGGCGCGAAAGCUAGGGGAGCGAACAGG